AUACGGAGGGUGCAAGCGUUACUCGGAAUCACUGGGCGUAAAGCGCGCGCAGGCGGCUAUUUAAGUUGGAUGUGAAAGCCUACGGCUCAACCGUAGAACUGCAUCCAAAACUAUUUAGCUAGAGUGUGGGAGAGGAAGAUGGAAUUAGUUGUGUAGGGGUAAAAUCCGUAGAGAUAGCUAGGAAUACCAAAAGCGAAGGCAAUCUUCUGGAACACUACUGACGCUGAGGCGCGAAAGCGUGGGGAGCAAACGGGAUUAGAAACCCUAGUAGUCC
Molecule: ribosomal RNA, 274 nt
Filed under: uncultured bacterium
Lineage: Bacteria
Description: partial 16S ribosomal RNA
Rfam family: Bacterial small subunit ribosomal RNA
Source: RNAcentral